AGUCACCAGUCAUACCAUAGGCGGCUACCUCCCUUGCGGGUUGGCGCACCGACUUCCGGUACAGCUGGCUUCCAUGGUGUGACGGGCGGUGUGUACAAGGCCCGGGAACGUAUUCACCGCGGCGUGCUGAUCCGCGAUUACUAGCGAUUCCAACUUCAUGGAGUCGAGUUGCAGACUCCAAUCCGAACUGAGAGCGGCUUUUUGGGAUUGGCUCCCCCUCGCGGGUUCGCGACCCUUUGUACCGCCCAUUGUAGCACGUGUGUGGCCCUGGACAUAAGGGCCAUGAUGACUUGACGUCGUCCCCACCUUCCUCCGGCUUAACGCCGGCAGUCUCCUUAGAGUGCCCAACUGAAUGGUGGCAACUAAGGACGAGGGUUGCGCUCGUUGCGGGACUUAACCCAACACCUCACGGCACGAGCUGACGACAGCCAUGCAGCACCUGAACCGGCAGUCCCCGAAGGGAAAAUCC
RNAcentral lists this ribosomal RNA (469 nucleotides) under uncultured delta proteobacterium. Its description in RNAcentral is "partial 16S ribosomal RNA". Lineage: Bacteria; Deltaproteobacteria. The record is from RNAcentral.